AGAGUUUGAUCCUGGCUCAGAUUGAACGCUGGCGGCGUGCCUAACACAUGCAAGUCGAGCGGCAACGCGGGAGCAAUCCUGGCGGCGAGCGGCGAACGGGUGAGUAAUGUUUCGGAAUCUACCCAUGGGUGGGGAAUAACUAGCCGAAAGGUUAGCUAAUACCGCAUAAGUCCGAGAGGGGAAAGCAGGGGAUCGCAAGA
RNAcentral lists this ribosomal RNA (200 nucleotides) under uncultured bacterium. RNAcentral describes it as "partial 16S ribosomal RNA". It matches the Rfam family "Bacterial small subunit ribosomal RNA", at positions 8 to 212 of the family's 1533-position model. The record is from RNAcentral.